CUUAACACAGGCUGGUAGUUAUUUGUUUUUAUACAUUUUAGCUCACAUUUGCCUUAAUCUCAAUUCCACUUUUGCAAAAAAAGCCCAUUUUUAUACAAGUCUUAGGCUUUAGAGCGGCAUGUUCAAUUCAACUGCGUCUCCCAGAGAACGUGUUUCUCUGCUCCUUCGUCUGCUGUUUGUUGUGAACCUGUGAGGUGAUGGUGAUGAUGUGAGAGGAGCAGUCAGUUUUGGGAGGAUCCUGCUGUUUCUGCUGUGUCUCUGACAGCGGAGGAUGAGGAGGCUGACAUUUACACAGGCAGGGUGAGACGGAGGGGAGAGAAGUGAAGGGAUUUCAAAACUGUUUUCUUGUUCACCUGUUUGUUUUGGAAAGUGUGGGUGAGAAAAGAGAGACAGAUAGAGACAGACAGAGAGAAGAACCUGCAAACAGAGCCUCAGGUCUAUUAAUUGUUUGCAUCUUGCUGGUCUGAUUUAUAGUAUAGAGACAUAAUAUUAGUAAACCCAGAACUGCAGUAACUAAUGUAUGUGCAUCACCAUCAAUAAGAACACAGGUCAGUGAUGUGGUGACCAGGUUCUAGUGAUUAAAAUGUGGGACAACGAUCAAGUGGUUCCACAUUUUGAAUGAACUAGAGCAGAAGUAUUAGCCUUGUCUCCCAUAGAGGGCGCCAGAGCACUUCAGGGGAAAUGGAAACGAAGAAAAACAGUAGUCCUUGUAGCAGAACAACGUCAGAACUAAUUAACCCCGUGAGAAAGAAUGGAUUUGAAAGAAUGACUUCGCUACUGCGCGAAAACACAGUGAUUAUUUAAAGUUUGUAUUUUCGUGCGUUUUAUAUAUUUUAAUUUUAUAGAAUCGGGAAAUGGAAGUGAAUAUUCGUUACACAUGAGAUUGGUCAUUUUUAGCAAUAGCGUAGUUGCUGAUGCUAAUGCGCAGACGGCGGGCCUACAUCGACGAUAUCUACAGUAACAACUUUGAAAAUACUGUUAAAACCAAAAGCUGGCAAAAUGUCAUUUUGGUGUCUCCCUCAGUGAGAUUCCUGCACCAGGACUUUCCAAAAUAGCUGCUGCCUAUUAACACCAACUUUGGCUGCUGCCACUCACCUGCUGCUGCUUAGCAUUGCAAAUGCUACGAGAAGAUAUGAGGCUACUCCAAGAAAAAGGACGGCGAAAGAGACCACCCAUAGGUAAGGUCUUAAACCUGGGUAAAGGGAAAUGGUUCUAUUGCCUGGACUGUUG
Long non-coding RNA from Cynoglossus semilaevis (tongue sole), 1230 nucleotides. RefSeq lists it as uncharacterized. The record is from RefSeq and is a predicted model, not a curated record. NCBI's taxonomy places the organism in Eukaryota, Metazoa, Chordata, Actinopteri, Pleuronectiformes, Cynoglossidae. The transcript is spliced from 3 exons.